AAACAUUUCCGCCGAAAGACCAAGGGUUCCUGGGCCAGGCUAAUCCGCCCAGGGUAAGUCGGGACCUAAGGCGAGGCCGUCAGGCGUAGUCGAUGGACAACUGGUUGAUAUUCCAGUACCCGCUUUAAUUCGCCCAUGACGAACCCACUAAUGCUAAGAGUUUGAAUCCUGUUCGGCGUAAGCUGCGUGGGUGGAUGGCUCGAACCGGUGUGGUAGUAGUUAAGCAAUGGUGUGACACAGGAAGGCAGUCCAGCCCGGGCGAUGGUUGUCCCGGGGUAAGGCUGUAGGGGGUGAUGUAGGCAAAUCCGCAUCACAUAUACCCUGAGAGCUGAUGCCGAGCCGUAAGGCGAAGUGGAUGAUCCUAUGCUGUCAAGAAAAGCAUCUAGCGAGAAUUAUUGCGGCCCGUACCCGAAACCGACACAGGUGGUCAGGUAGAGAAUACCAAGGCGAUCGAGAGAAUCAUGGAUAAGGAACUCGGCAAAAUGCCCCCGUAACUUCGGGAGAAGGGGGGCCCUCUGGCGUGUAGGAAUUUACUUCCGAAGCGUUAGGAGGCCGCAGAGACCAGGCUCAAGCGACUGUUUACCAAAAACACAGGUCCGUGCGAAGUAGCAAUACGAUGUAUACGGACUGACGCCUGCCCGGUGCUGGAAGGUUAAGGGGACUGGUUAGCCGCAAGGCGAAGCUGAGAACUUAAGCCCCAGUAAACGGCGGUGGUAACUAUAACCAUCCUAAGGUAGCGAAAUUCCUUGUCGGGUAAGUUCCGACCUGCACGAAUGGCGUAACGACUUGAGCGCUGUCUCAUCCGUGAACUCGGCGAAAUUGCAUUACGAGUAAAGAUGCUCGUUACGCGCAGAAAGACGGAAAGACCCCGGGACCUUUACUAUAUCUUGAUAUUGGUGUUCGGAACGGUUUGUGUAGCAUAGGUGGGAGACUUUGAAGCGGGCACGCCAGUGUUUGUGGAGUCAUCGUUGAAAUACCACUCUGAUCGUUUUGAACUUCUAACCUCGGUCCGUAAUCCGGAUCAGGGACAGUGUCUGGUGGGUAGUUUGACUGGGGCGGUCGCCUCCUAAAAAGUAACGGAGGCGCUCAAAGGUUCCCUCAACCUGGUUGGUAAUCAGGUGUCGAGUGUAAGUGCACAAGGGAGCUUAACUGUGAGACAGACAUGUCGAGCAGGUGCGAAAGCAGGAACUAGUGAUCCGGCGGUGGCUUGUGGAAGCGCCGUCGCUCAACGGAUAAAAGGUACCCCGGGGAUAACAGGCUGAUCUUGCCCAAGAGUCCAUAUCGACGGCAAGGUUUGGCACCUCGAUGUCGGCUCGUCUCAUCCUGGGGCUGGAGUAGGUCCCAAGGGUUGGGCUGUUCGCCCAUUAAAGAGGCACGCGAGCUGGGUUCAGAACGUCGUGAGACAGUUCGGUCCCUAUCUUCUGUGCGCGCAGGAAACUUGAGAAGGGCUAACCCUAGUACGAGAGGACCGGGUUGGACGAACCUCUGGUGUGUCGGUUGUUCCGCCAGGAGCACCGCCGAUUAGCUACGUUCGGAAGGGAUAACCGCUGAAAGCAUCUAAGCGGGAAGCUCGCUUCGAGAUUAGGUUUCCCACCGGUUUACCGGGUAAGGCCCCCAGCUAGACGACUGGGUUGAUAGGCCGGAAGUGGAAGAGUCGCAAGACUUGGAGCUGACCGGUACUAAUAGGCCGAGGAUUUAACUACAAAGUUGCUACGCGUCCACUGUGUGGCUCUCGAGAUACGGUCUCGAGAUCCACGAUCAACGAAAAGGUUUUGACCCCUUUUCGUUUAGACCGAAAACUCAAUAGCGUUUCGGCGACCAUAGCGAGAGGGAAACACCCGGUCCCAUUCCGAACCCGGAAGUUAAGCCUCUCAGCGUCGAUGGUACUGCAAGGGUGACCUUGUGGGAGAGUAGAACGUCGCCGGACUUCUUUUAUAAAAAGGGGCGCUUUAACGAGCGCCCCUUUUUUAUUUCUCGUGAGUAAAUGUCAUACUGUUAAAAACUAAAAAGCGUGAAGGAGCAUCACAUGGAUGAAAAAGAACAGCGCCCAUCUCGUCCUUCACGACCUGUUAAUAAUCUAAAACCAGGAGAGCGUCCCGCACGAUCGGGAGAACGUCGUCCAUCAGGAGACGCACCACGCAAACCAUCUGGUCCUAAUUCUCAGCGCAGACGUGAAGAUUUGCCCGCUCGAGGCGGUUCACAAAGUCGCGCCGGAGCUCCGCGCCAAACACGUGAUGGUUCUGAUCCUCGUGGCGCACGUCCUGCACCAAUGGAUCGCGAUCAAUCUCGUUUGCGUCCACGAAUCUUUGAACCAGAUAUUCCAGAAGAUGUCACUGGUGAAGAGUUAGAAAAAUCUGUUCGUGCUGAGUUGUUAAGUUUGUCUGCUGAAAACGCAAAGGUUGUUGCACGACAUCUUGUGUGUAUAAAUCUUUAUCAAGAUACAGAUCCACAAUUAGCUCACAAACAUGGCAUAGCAGCGGCUCAUCAUGCUGGUCGCCUUGCUGUUGUUCGUGAAUCUGCUGGUUAUGCCGCAUAUCGCGCGGGUCAUUAUGAAAUAGCGCUAAAGGAAUUGCGAGCUGCCAAUCGCAUAUCCGGAGAUGUCUCAUCACUUCCUGUAAUGGCUGACUGUGAAAGAGGACUCGGAAAUCCUCUCAAAGCAUUGAGCUUGGCUGGUUCUCCAGAGGUUAAGCGAUUGGCUAAACCAGAAGAAAUUGAGAUGCGAAUAGUUGCAGCUGGUGCUCGUCGCGAUUUGGGUGAGUUGGAUGCUGCCGUUGUCACUUUGACCUGUAAAGAAUUAAACAAUGAAACAGAUGAGUGGGCCGUGCGUCUUCGCUAUGCCUAUGCCGAUGCAUUAGAUGCUGCCGGUAGAAAAGAUGAAGCGCGCGAAUGGUUUGGUAAGUGCGCAUCAUUAGAUGAGGAAGAACUUACAGACGCUGCUGAACGCUCCUUAGAGUAGUUACCCACAUCUUCCCCGCACAUGGUGGAAAGUGUCAGCUUGGCGCACGAUCAUCAUCUCCACAUUAAGUAGUUUGGGAGAUCUCGUGGUCAAGAAAGCAAGUGUCAAGAAAAGUGUAGAUGUUGAAGAAGAUUACUCAUUGAACGAUGUUUU
This 3109-nucleotide ribosomal RNA is filed under the name uncultured Actinomycetes bacterium. Lineage: Bacteria; Bacillati; Actinomycetota; Actinomycetes. The record is from RNAcentral.